Molecule: ribosomal RNA, 315 nt
Filed under: Triticum aestivum (bread wheat)
Lineage: Eukaryota; Viridiplantae; Streptophyta; Magnoliopsida; Poales; Poaceae
Description: partial small subunit ribosomal RNA
Source: RNAcentral
CGAGAUAUAGGCAGGCAAAAGAGGGAUUUUUGUCGUUUGUGGAUCACUUGGAUAAACGCAACAACAUGGGUAUAUAAAGUAUUCGAUAGUUAUAGUAAAUUAAUACACAACCUGUACAAGAAUAAAUUGAUUCUUAAUCGUAAAAUGCUUGCACAAGACUUAAUGAUUAUUCGUUCGCUGGAACCAGAAGUAAAAAUUGUUGUGGAUAGGGAUCCUAUAAAAACAUCUUUUGAGGAAUGGGCCAGACCCGGCCAUUUCUCAAGAACACUAGCUAAGGGCCCUGAUAGGAUGAAUUAUCGGAAGAGGAUCAUUUAA